UGACCCCUCCAGCCUAGCUGGGUGUUGGACCGCGCCUCCGGGCGGGUCUUAAAACCAGUGGCGGUGCUUUCAGGCUCUACGCGUAGUAGUAAUCUUUCUCGCUAUGGAGUCCUGGGAGAUGCUAGCCAGCAACCUCAACUUUUUCA
Molecule: unclassified non-coding RNA, 146 nt
Filed under: uncultured fungus
Lineage: Eukaryota; Fungi
Description: sequence contains ITS2
Source: RNAcentral